UCGGAUAUGGUGUAACGGCUAACAUUGCCGCCUCUCAUCUCCCUGUAUUCGCGGCAGCUCGGGGUUCGAUUCCCCGUAUCCGAA
Molecule: transfer RNA, 84 nt
Filed under: Asterophora parasitica
Lineage: Eukaryota; Fungi; Basidiomycota; Agaricomycetes; Agaricales; Lyophyllaceae
Description: tRNA-Glu
Rfam family: tRNA
About the family: Transfer RNA (tRNA) molecules are approximately 80 nucleotides in length. Their secondary structure includes four short double-helical elements and three loops (D, anti-codon, and T loops). Further hydrogen bonds mediate the characteristic L-shaped molecular structure. tRNAs have two regions of fundamental functional importance: the anti-codon, which is responsible for specific mRNA codon recognition, and the 3' end, to which the tRNAs corresponding amino acid is attached (by aminoacyl-tRNA synthetases). tRNAs cope with the degeneracy of the genetic code in two manners: having more than one tRNA (with a specific anti-codon) for a particular amino acid; and 'wobble' base-pairing, i.e. permitting non-standard base-pairing at the 3rd anti-codon position.
Source: RNAcentral